UACGUAGGGUGCGAGCGUUGUCCGGAAUUAUUGGGCGUAAAGAGCUCGUAGGCGGUGUGUCGCGUCGGCCGUGAAAACCUGCAGCUUAACUGUGGGCUUGCGGUCGAUACGGGCAUCACUGGAGUUCGGCAGGGGAGACUGGAAUUCCUGGUGUAGCGGUGAAAUGCGCAGAUAUCAGGAGGAACACCGGUGGCGAAGGCGGCAUCCUGGACCAUUACUGACGCUGAGGCGCGAAAGCUAGGGGAGCAAACGGG
Molecule: ribosomal RNA, 254 nt
Filed under: uncultured bacterium
Lineage: Bacteria
Description: partial 16S ribosomal RNA
Rfam family: Bacterial small subunit ribosomal RNA
Source: RNAcentral